This 300-nucleotide long non-coding RNA is filed under the name Bemisia tabaci. RNAcentral's name for it is "lncRNA ENSSSA1NGG000687". The record is from RNAcentral. Lineage: Eukaryota; Metazoa; Arthropoda; Insecta; Hemiptera; Aleyrodidae.
AUGCCUGUGAGGCCUGAGCUAGAGCAUUGCGGUGAGAAAAGCGAUGCCCGAAGGCAAGCCAUUCUUUAUCCACCAAUGUUCGAAAGCCUUCCAAGGUGCGAUAAUGUGGAUCCAGGCACAGCUGGGCUAGAGAGGAGAUCUGACAGGUUAUGUCCCAACCUGAAAAAUAAAAAUACAACCCAAUUUCAAAAAAUAAGAAAAAAAAAGAAGAAAUCAAAAAUCUUUCCUACCCCAACAAUAGCAGCGAGUAAUAAUAAAAAAGGUUUCCAGCCUUUGUUUGACCACCAUACUGCAGCAUGA